RNAcentral lists this non-coding RNA (807 nucleotides) under Eunoe nodosa. The record is from RNAcentral. Lineage: Eukaryota; Metazoa; Annelida; Polychaeta; Phyllodocida; Polynoidae.
UAAGUUUGAUUCUAGCUUAUAUAUUUGAUUAAUUUUUUGAAAAUACACAUGCAAAGUUCAUACUCCCGUGAUAGAUAAAAUUUUUUAACAUUGUAAAUUUAUUAUUAUAAAUAUUUAUAAUAUUUAAGAAUUCCACGUCUGCAGUGACCAACCCUUAAUUAUUAACUAACGUUAGAUUAGGCAAUUAAUUUACCCUUCUGACCAAAUCUGUGCCAGCAGUCGCGGUUAUACAGAAAGACACAAUCAAUUCAUUCAGGCUCGUAAAUUGAGAGUAAAAAUAAAGCUAAGGGUUCAAUCUUCCUUUAUAAAUUAACUAUAUCUCUCUAUUUCUAAACGAAAGUAUAGACCAAAACAAGGAUUAGAUACCCUUUUAUUCUAAACCUUAAAUAUUAUCGUCCUGGGCACUACGAACUCAUGUUUAAAACCCAAAGAACUUGGCGGUACUUUAACCUCUUAGGGGAACCUGUAAAUUAAUUUGAUAACCCACAUAAACCUUACUUGUAUUAGCUUCCAGCCUGUAUACUGCCGUCGCCAGUUUACCUUGAAAAAGUUUUAGUAAACUAAUAAAUAUUAAUUUAUACGUCAGGUCAUAGUGCAGCUCAUGUACAAGUUUUCUUAUGGGUUACAUUCCUCAUAAGGACCGAUUGUUUUAUAAACAUAUAAAAUAUGAAGUUGGACUUAAUUGUAAGAAUAAUAAAUUUAUUCUCCUGAACUAGGAAAUCUAAAGUGUGCACAAAUCGCCCGUCACUCCCCUCUAAAGAGGGGAUAAGUCGUAACAUAGUAGGGGUAAUGGAAAUUGUCCCUACA